GGGGUUGUGGCUCAGUGGUAGAGCGCUUACCUAGCACAUGGGAGGCCCUGGGUUCGAUCCUCAGCACCA
Molecule: non-coding RNA, 69 nt
Organism: Ictidomys tridecemlineatus (thirteen-lined ground squirrel)
Lineage: Eukaryota; Metazoa; Chordata; Mammalia; Rodentia; Sciuridae
Source: Rfam